AACAUUGAGCCUUGAUGUGUAGGAUAGGUGGGAGGCUUUGAAGUGUGGACGCCAGUCUGCAUGGAGCCGACCUUGAAAUACCACCCUUUAAUGUUUGAUGUUCUAACGUUGGCCCGUUAUCCGGGUUGCGGACAGUGUCUGGUGGGUAGUUUGACUGGGGCGGUCUCCUCCUAAAGAGUAACGGAGGAGCACGAAGGUUGGCUAAUCCUGGUCGGACAUCAGGAGGUUA
This 229-nucleotide ribosomal RNA is filed under the name Escherichia coli. Its description in RNAcentral is "partial 23S ribosomal RNA". It matches the Rfam family "Bacterial large subunit ribosomal RNA", at positions 2120 to 2348 of the family's 2925-position model. Lineage: Bacteria; Pseudomonadati; Pseudomonadota; Gammaproteobacteria; Enterobacterales; Enterobacteriaceae. The record is from RNAcentral.